Lipotes vexillifer (Yangtze River dolphin) is the source of this 1829-nucleotide non-coding RNA. Lineage: Eukaryota; Metazoa; Chordata; Mammalia; Artiodactyla; Lipotidae. The record is from RefSeq and is a predicted model, not a curated record.
GCAUUCGUUGUGGGCCACCCCCAGCCAUCGCCAAUGGAGAUUUCAUUAGCACCGACAGAGAAUACUUUCAAUACGGAACAGUGGUGACCUAUCACUGCAAUCUUGGAGAGAGAAGGCAGAAGCUGUUUGACCUCGUGGGUGAGCCGUCAAUAUAUUGCACCAGUGAAGACAAUCAAGUUGGCAUCUGGAGUGGCCCUCCCCCUCAGUGCAUUACACCUAAUAAAUGCACGCCUCCAGUCAUUGAAAAUGGAAUAAGGAUGUCUGAGAACAGAAGCUUAUUUUCUUUACGUGAAAGCGUGAGGUUUAGGUGUCAGCCCGGCUUUGCCAUGAAAGGACCCUCCACUGUUGAAUGCCAGGCCCAAAACAAGUGGGGGCCAGAGUUGCCCAGCUGCUCCAGGGUAUGUCAGCAACCUCCAGAAGUCCUGCAUGGUAAACAUACCCCAAGCCACAAGAACAACUUUUCCUCUGGGCAGGAAGUGUUCUACAGCUGUGAGCCUGGCUAUGAUCUCAGAGGGGCUGCUUCUCUGCACUGUAUGCCCCAGGGAGACUGGAGCCCGGAAGCUCCCAGAUGUGCAGUGAAAUCAUGUGCUGACUUCCUGGACCAACUUCCUAAUGGACAUGUGCUCUUUCCACUUAAUUUCCACCUUGGGGCAAAAGUGUCCUUCAUUUGUGAUGAGGGGUUCCAGUUAAAGGGAAGCUCAGCCAGUUACUGUAUCUUGGUUGGAACGAAAAGCCUUUGGAAUAACAGUGUUCCUGUGUGUGAACAAAUCUUUUGUCCAAAUCCGCUGGCUAUCCUUAAUGGGAGGCACACAGGAACUUCUCUGGGAGGCAUUUCCUGUGGAAAAGAAAUAUCUUGCACAUGUGACCCCCACCCAGACAGAGGGAUGACUUUCAAUCUCUUUAGGGAGAGCACCAUCCACUGCACAAGUGACAGUCAAGGGAAUGAGGUUUGGAGCAUCCCUGACCCUCACCGUGAACUUUCUGGUCCUGCUGGUCACCCCUAACAGUUUCCAUUUACAAAGCCUACAAUCCUGACUGAUGAGUCUGAGUUUCCAGUUGGGACAUCUUUGAAUUAUGAAUGCUUCCUUGGGUAUUUUGAAAAUAUAUUCUCUAUCACCUGCUUAGAAAACUUGGUCUCGUCAAGUGCCAAGAUAUUUAGAGAUAUGAGAAAAUCAUGUGGAAAACCUCCAGAACCCUUCAAUGGCAUAGUGCAUAUAAGCACAGAUACCCGGUUUGGAUCAACAGUUAAUUAUUCAUGUAAUAAAGGGUAUCGACUCAUUGGUUCCCCUUCUGCUACUUGUCUCCUCUCAGGCAUUGAUGUCACUUGGAAUAAGAAGGCACCUAUUUGUGAGAAAGUAAAAUGUAGCCUCUCACAGAUUAUGAAUGGAAUCAAGAAGGAACUGAAAAUAAGAAAAGUAUAUCACUCUGGAGAUAAUGUAACUUUGGAGUGUGAAGAUGGGUAUACUCUGGAAGGCAGUCCCUGGAGUCAGUGCCAGGAAGAUGACCUGUGGGACCCUCCUCUGGCCAUAUGUACCUCUCGCACGAGUGAUGAGCUCAUAGCUGAGGCGGUGAGCCAGCCAUUCCUGCAAGCCGCCGCGACUCUCCUUCAGGUCUGCAGACAGAGGUGUCAGAGACAGUCCGGGUCCAAGGAGGAGGCGCAAAGCUCCCAGCCCACCGGGAGGGUUAGCCCAGCGCAAGGGCCUCGCCCCGCCUCUCCAGGCCUAAGGGCCGCCCCGGGCGCCGAGGCCCAGCCUUGCAGCCCGCCCAUUGGCCCCGCAAGGCCCUCUCCUUCUCUCCUGCAGCGUUCUAGGCCACGCCCAUCUGCGUGA